Molecule: transfer RNA, 70 nt
Filed under: Dipodomys ordii (Ord's kangaroo rat)
Lineage: Eukaryota; Metazoa; Chordata; Mammalia; Rodentia; Heteromyidae
Rfam family: tRNA
About the family: Transfer RNA (tRNA) molecules are approximately 80 nucleotides in length.
Source: Rfam by way of RNAcentral
GGGAAUGUGGCUUAGUGGUAGAGUGCUUGCCUUGCAUGCAUGGAGCCCUGGGUUCGGUUCCUCAGUACCA